Molecule: ribosomal RNA, 496 nt
Filed under: Lachesilla anna
Lineage: Eukaryota; Metazoa; Arthropoda; Insecta; Psocodea; Lachesillidae
Description: partial 16S ribosomal RNA
Rfam family: Bacterial large subunit ribosomal RNA
Source: RNAcentral
UGUCUUUAAGAUUAGUUUUUAAAGUCCAAUCUGCCCACUGAUUUUUUGAAGGGCUGCAGUAUAAUGACUGUACAAAGGUAGCAUAAUCAAUAGUUUCUUAAUUGGGAACUGGAAUGAAUGAUUAGACGAGAAAUAAUCUUUCUUUAUAAUAAUAUAUUGAAUUUAAAAUUUAAGUGAAAAUGCUUAAAUUAUUUUAAAAGACGAGAAGACCCUAUAGAUUUUUAUUUUUUUUGAAAAAAAAAUUUUUCGAAGAAAAAUUUAAUUGGGGCGAUUUUGUGAUAUAAAAAUCUCAAUGUUAAAUUAACCAUAAAUAAUUGAAUUUUUUGAUCCAAAAGUUUUGAUAAACAGAUUAAAUUACCUUAGGGAUAACAGCGUAAUUUUAUUUAAGAGUUCAUAUCUAUAAUAAAGAUUGCGACCUCGAUGUUGAAUUAAGAGCUUCAUUGGAGUAGAAAUUAAUGUUAAGUAGUCUGUUCGACUAUUAAAUUCUUACGUGAUC